CCCCUAGAUGUUCUGGGCCGCACGCGCGCUACACUGAACAGUUCAACAAGUCUUAACCUUGGCCGAUAGGUCUGGGUAAUCUUUGAACGCUGUUCGUGAUUGGGAUAGACCUUUGCAAUUAUGGGUCUUCAACGAGGAAUUCCUAGUAAGCGCAAGUCAUCAGCUUGCAUUGAUUACGUCCCUGCCCUUUGUACACACCGCCCGUCGCACCUACCGAUUGAAUGGUCCGGUGAAAUCUCGGGACGGCGGCUCGGUCGCUUGCGUCCGACUGCUGAAACUUGAUUAAACCAUAUCAUUUAGAGGAAGGUGAAGUCGUAACA
This 320-nucleotide ribosomal RNA is filed under the name uncultured eukaryote. RNAcentral's name for it is "partial 18S ribosomal RNA". It matches the Rfam family "Eukaryotic small subunit ribosomal RNA", at positions 1470 to 1796 of the family's 1831-position model. The record is from RNAcentral.